AGAGUUUGAUCAUGGCUCAGGAUGAACGCUAGCGGGAGGCCUAACACAUGCAAGCCGAGCGGUAUUUCUUCUUCGGAAGAGAGAGAGCGGCGUACGGGUGCGUAACACGUGUGCAACCUACCUUUAUCUGGGGGAUAGCCUUUCGAAAGGAAGAUUAAUACCCCAUAAUAUAUUGAAUGGCAUCAUUUGAUAUUGAAAACUCCGGUGGAUAGAGAUGGGCACGCGCAAGAUUAGAUAGUUGGUGAGGUAACGGCUCACCAAGUCUGUGAUCUUUAGGGGUCCUGAGAGGGAGAUCCCCCACACUGGUACUGAGACACGGACCAGACUCCUACGGGAGGCAGCAGUGAGGAAUAUUGGACAAUGGGUGAAAGCCUGAUCCAGCCAUCCCGCGUGAAGGAUGACGGUCCUAUGGAUUGUAAACUUCUUUUGUACAGGGAUAAACCUACUCUCGUGAGGGUAGCUGAAGGUACUGUACGAAUAAGCACCGGCUAACUCCGUGCCAGCAGCCGCGGUAAUACGGAGGGUGCAAGCGUUAUCCGGAUUUAUUGGGUUUAAAGGGUCCGUAGGCGGACCCGUAAGUCAGUGGUGAAAUCUCAUAGCUUAACUAUGAAACUGCCAUUGAUACUGCGGGUCUUGAGUAAAUUUGAAGUGGCUGGAAUAAGUAGUGUAGCGGUGAAAUGCAUAGAUAUUACUUAGAACACCAAUUGCGAAGGCAGGUCACUAAGAUUUAACUGACGCUGAUGGACGAAAGCGUGGGUAGCGAACAGGAUUAGAUACCCUGGUAGUCCACGCCGUAAACGAUGCUAACUCGUUUUUGGAUUUUCGGAUUCAGAGACCAAGCGAAAGUGAUGAGUUAGCCACCUGGGGAGUACGUCCGCAAGGAUGAAACUCAAAGGAAUUG
RNAcentral lists this ribosomal RNA (901 nucleotides) under uncultured bacterium. RNAcentral's name for it is "bacterial SSU rRNA". It matches the Rfam family "Bacterial small subunit ribosomal RNA", at positions 8 to 912 of the family's 1533-position model. The record is from RNAcentral.